This 411-nucleotide ribosomal RNA is filed under the name uncultured bacterium. RNAcentral describes it as "bacterial SSU rRNA". It matches the Rfam family "Bacterial small subunit ribosomal RNA", at positions 30 to 439 of the family's 1533-position model. The record is from RNAcentral.
AUUGAACGCUGGCGGCGUGCUUAACACAUGCAAGUCGUGCGGUAACAGGCGUAGCAAUACGUGCUGACGAGCGGCGAACGGGUGCGUAAUACAUGGGAAUCUGCCCUUUAGUGGGGAAUAACCCGGCGAAAGCCGGGCUAAUGCCGCAUAAGAUCUUCGGAUGAAAGCGGGGGAUCGUAAGACCUCGCGCUGAUGGAUGAGCCCAUGUCGGAUUAGCUAGUUGGUGAGGUAACGGCUCACCAAGGCGACGAUCCGUAGCUGGUCUGAGAGGACGGCCAGCCACACUGGGACUGAGACACGGCCCAGACUCCUACGGGAGGCAGCAGUGGGGAAUAUUGGACAAUGGGCGAAAGCCUGAUCCAGCGACGCCGCGUGUGUGAAGAAGGCCUGCGGGUUGUAAAGCACUUUCGA